CGCUGGCCCGCGCCCAGAGCCCGAGGCCGCGGGGCCUCCCGGGCAGGAAGUCAAUCCUGGACGGGAUUUCUGACGUGGUCUCCCCGCCGAAGGUGCCCUAAGUAAAAAUUAAUGCAAAAAAAAAUCCAUGAUGAACAGAAUGUCACAAAUUUAAGUGAGGACUGGAUGGAUGGACAACAAGCCAUAUUGGAGCCGGAAACAAAAGGAAGCAUCAGUAAAACUGAUCCUGUCUGGUAGUCCUUAGGAGAAGAGAGACACCUCCCGUCUCCCUUUCAGGGCCAGAGGCUGAUGUGGAAGGGACUCUGACUCUGUCAAAAGGGCCAGCUGAUGUCUAGAAUGUGUAAGCUGUAGAGAGCUAUAAGCCCAGCAUGACCCAGAGAGGGGCUGUUCCUACAGCUUGGAUCCAUUAACGAAGACAACUUGGGAAGGGAGCUGCAGCCAGACUGAGUGAGAAGUGAGGAAAAGCUCUGAAGUUAUGUCGGCUCUGGGAACCUCGGCCCUGGAAAAUCACUGAGCUUCUCAGCCCUCCCAUCAGCAGGACCCUCUCCACUCCAGCAGCCAUGGGUGCCAGCUGAAGGUCAGCGCCCUUGCUGAUGCAGAGCCCCAACUAGACGCUGCCCCAGGGAGUCUCUGGCCUCUCCCGGGUGCUGUGAAUGACUCGAGCUGAAUUCAGGUCUCACUUUGAGAGGAAGGACGUCAUCCCAACUGGCUCAACUGCUUUGCCUUGCCUGGGGAAACAAAGUUUAAUACGCAGAAUGAAACCAUUUUAAUGGCUGGCUUAUGCUGCCCCAAACAAGACAUCGAUUGGGAGUCCAGCUCAAAGAGAUUAAGUGACCAGCUCAGAGCGACACUUCUGGUAAAUGAGAGUCGAGAUUUAGGCCCUGGUGGUCUGAGCCCAGUUUCCGAGCUUUUUGAAUUACAUCACACUGCUUCCCUUGCAAAAGAGCCCUGGGUUCUUAGAACUUGGAAUAUGCCAUAAAUAGUUCACCUUCUACAAAGAGAGACUUGUGGUUGGUCAGGAAACAGGAAAAAUCUCAUCAUUUCUUGAGUAUUUACAUUCCAGAGUGGACUGUUCAUUCUUUGCUUUGGGCAGGCUCACAAGGAGAUUUCUCUGUGUUUUAGAUAAUCCUACAAUGAAAAGUCAGCACUGGGGACGAUUUCAGGUGAGACCAGGGAUCCUGUGUAGACUAGCUUCAUAGGGCUGCCGUAACACAGUACCACAAAAUGGGUGGCUUAAGUCAGCAGAAAUUUAUCUCUCACAGUUCUGGGGGUCAGAAGUCUGAAAUCAAGGUAUUGGCAGGGUUGGUUCCUUCUGGAGGCUUUGAGGGAGAAUCUGCUCCAGGCCUUUCUGCCAGCUUUUGGUGGUGACCAGCAAUCCUUGGCCUUCCUUAGACUAUAGAUGCAUCAUCACCCCAAUCUCUGCCUCUGUUGUCAAAUGGCAUUCUUCGUCUGUGUGUCUGUCUGUGUGAGUGUCUGUGUCUCUGUUUCCUCUUUUAUAAAGACAACAGUCAUUAGAUUUAGGGCCAACUGUAAUCCAGGUAUGACCUCAUUUUAACUAAUUACAUUUGCGAAGACCCUAUUUUCCAAAUAAGGUCGCAUCCUGAGGUUCUAUAUGGACUUGAGGGGAUACUCAUUCAACUUACUACACUGUAUCUUCCUGUUUUGUUCAAUAAAUAGGGAUGACACUUCUGGAAUACUCUAAGUCUUCCUAACCAGCUAUGUCCUGACCCAGGAAGGUGGUGCCGGGACAAUUCUGCCCAUCUUACAGGCAGGGGAAGGAAAAGGGAGUAAGACAGGUGGAGGUGACCUCAGAGCAGCUCACAUACUGCUGCUGGCUGCAGCCAAGAAGCAACAUACGCUGGGCCUGGGGUGGGGGUGGGGGUGGGGGAGUGUAUCAUUUUAUUGGCAUGGAUUUUGGGUCAAAACACUUAUAUUUUAGUGAGUAUAAGGAUAAAUUAAGAGUGGGGCAGAGGGAAGGAAAAAGGAAGAGGGAGAGCUGGCUUAGUCACAAAAAUGAUCCUCCCUCCCCCCAAAAUAGUUGGGAAUUCAUUUAACUUGGAAAAAAUGAUAUAUAUAUAUGUAUAUUUAUAAAUUUUUAUUUUUUAAAAUUUAUUUUUGGCUGCGUUGGGUCUUCGUUGCUGCGCGUGGGCUUUCUCUAGUUGCAGCGAGCGGGGGCUACUCUUCGUUGCGGUGCAUGAGCUUCUCACUGUGGUGGCUUCUCUUGUUGUGGAGCACAGGCUCUAGGCACACGGGCUCAGGAGCUGUGACUCGGGGGCUCUAGAGCGCAGGCUCAGUAGUUGUGGCGCAUGGGCUUAGUUGCUCCACUGCAUGUGGGAUCUUCCCAGACCAGGGCUCGAACCCGUGUCCCUUGCAUUGGCAGGCAGAUUCUUAACCACUGCACCACCAGGGAAGCCCCUCAAUGAUAUUUUUUCAAAGAAAAUUUUAAAGUGGGAAGAGUAAAGGAAAACAUGAAUGAAUGAAGAACUCUCCUCUUGAUUAUAAAGUCUAAAUAAAGUUAAGAUUACAAAAGAAUAUAACUUAAAAACACAAUGAGAUGGAUCACAAGAUUUAACAAAUUCUAAAACUCAUCUGGAAUAUGAAUGGGCAAAAUGUCAAAAAAUGUUUUGGGGGAACUUAAAAUAACCAGACAGCCAUUACUGUAUUUUCUUGGAGUAAAGACAAGAGAAUCUGCCCAGGGGAAUAGAAUAGACUCUACAGAAAGAGACUGAAGUUAUUUAAGGACUUGAUGUAAGAUGAAUGAGCAUCAACACAAGGCUAUAAGAAAGAGUCACUAUUUAACAAAUAUCAUCUAAAUCGUGGUACAUCAUGGGGACUUCCCUGGUGGUCCAGUGGUUAAGACUCCAUGCUUCCACUGCAGGGGGCACAGUUUCAAUCCCUGGUCGGGGAACUAAGAUCCCACAUGCCACACAGCACGGCCAAAAAAGAAAAUAAAUUAAUAAAUAAAUAAAUUUUCCAAAAAAUCGUGGGACAUCAGCAUGGAUCAGAAUUAGCUUAUAUCCAUAUUUUUUCCCACCGUGCACUACAAUACAUUUCAAAUGGGUCAUAAAAAGCCAGAGAAGGAAAUGGAAAAGCAAAUGCGUUUCAACUGUGAUGAGAAAACAUUUUGACUACUGCUGAAAGAGAUAUCAGAGACAGGACGGAUGGACCCAAAUGUGUUGUUAAAAGCCUUUUGUGCCACAGAAUGUAAUAAAGCCAAUCCAAAAAUGAAAGCCACAGAAGGGGGAGAAAUAUAUGUGGCAAAUAAAGCUUUCUAUCCAAAAUAGCUAAGGAAUUGAUAUAACUAUAAAAGGCCAGGAUCCUGCUCCUUUUUUGAGAAGUAAUCAGAGGAAAUGAGCCGAUAGUUCACACACAAAGCUUUAUAUAGAAAAAUGACCGGCCCUAUUAUAAAUCUCGAACUUGCAAUAUGGACAACUUUUAUACUGUUAUAAAAAUCAAUUUAAAUGCUAAAACUUAAUGCUCAAUUAUUCAAAUUCCCUUGAGACUACUUUGGCAAACACUACGAAACAAUUCCGAUCCUUUGAUUCCGUAAUCUUUAUUUUAAGAAAAUGUCUAAAGAAAAUAAGGUAAAAGAAAAAAAAAUCAUCUCUACAACGUCUUCAUGGCAGUAUUAUUUAAAUAGAAAAGAAUUGGAAAGCAAUCAGUUGCACAGUGAUUUCUUAGUACUUCUCAAAGUGGGGUCUUAGGAUCCCCUACGUCAGAGUCACCUGCGAUGCUUGUAGAAAUGCAGAUUCUGGGGCCACACUUCUGACAUAGUCAAUGAGAAUCUCUGAAGGGUGCCUGGGAAUAUUCAUUUUAUCAAGCAGGUCAGCUGACCCAUAACAACACUGAAGUUUAAGAACUACUAACCUCUAAGCAAACCGCAGACCAUGGGAACAUUUAGAGGACUAGACAGCGUUUCAGGUGACAGACCCUGUGCCUGCAUAGAACUGGACAGAAGGAAUAGUGAUGACUGCAGAGAACGCCAAAGCCCAUGGGCAGCCCAUGCCCCAUGUGAGAUGCCCACAGAGCAGUGGCCACAGCAGGGUAGAAUCACUUAAGUCCUUGGAGCUUGUUAUGUUGUAUUUUGCUCUAGAGACUGUUUUAAAAAUUCCUCAUGGUCAUACAAGUUUUCACUGAUUUGUCAGAAUCCCAGGAAGGGCACUUGAAAAGUUGACAGAACACUUACAAAUAAUCUCCAGGAUCCCUGCCUCGAGCCAAACCUGCCUGGAUGUCACCCCCUCCCCUUUCCCUCCAUUGGACCCCCAGUCUCUAGGCGGUAACAGGCCCUUUCUGCCUUGGAUUUGAUCCAAGCCCUCGCAUCCCUUUACGUGUCACCCCACCGCGUCCUUGGCCGUGUCUAGCGUUGGCGCCACUGUGUGGGAUGUAGUCCUCUCAUUAGGAGAGUUUACUGCCCACACGUUUUUGCAAUAAACUGGGGAGCAGGGAGAGCUUAGCAGGCAGCUUUCUGGAGACUGCUGAAUAUUUCCUUUUCAGGAUGAGAAGGGGAGACAGGUCUGAUAGGGUGUGUUGCUAACGCAGUUCUGAGCUUCUGUGGCUCCCAGAGGGCUUACUUCCUUGCGAGCCGAUCCCUGAGGUACAGAAAUGUCACCAUAGCUCUGCUUCCCACAGAAGCCUCUUUCUUGGAACGUACAGAUCCAUUCUUGCCCAGAGCCUUGGGGCUUCUUGCCAGGAUCUAGGGAUGUCACAAGAAACUACUGUCCUGUCAAGGUUGGCCAACCUCCCUUAAGAAGGUUGGGCAAAUGCCCAGGACUCCAGGUGCCUGUGUGGGAUGGGAGAGCCCACCCGCUCUCUACAUGGAGCGGCGGGGGGUUAGUGGGGGGGCCAGACCUUGCCCAGCGACAUGCCCAAGGUUUGAACCUUGAUGUUCUGCAGCCCUGAGGGAGAGUACAAAUGCUUCCUUUCAAACUACCACAUCUGUUUCCUGGCCCUGAAAUACCAGAUCUCACCCACUCCUGGCUAUCUCACAGCUGCUCCCUCUAGGGGGUACCCAGUCUUCGGCAUCCUUGUGUGGUCCAGCAGAGGGGGCUUCUUUUCCACGAGGGAGACCAGGCUGGGGAAAGAAUCUCCUCAGGACACCAGAGUGGGCGAUUGGGAGUUAUCACUCUGCUUCCAGCCCCCAUCAACACCCUAGAACCUCACUGCCGCUUUCAGCCCUUUUGCAGGUUUUUCCCACGGGGUCAGAAACCAGCCCAGAGAGCAGAUUCCUCACUUUCCCAGCCUCCUGUGCAGCGGGCCACCCCCUUGAGGAAGAGAGCAGAGGAGUAGAAGCAGGAGGGGCAGGAGAGACACUGGGCUGAGAUCCUAUUGUGACUUUUGGAAUGGACUUUUAAUCUUUCAUCCAAAAGUAUAUGAGUGCCAGUGCUGUGCUAGGGAGCUACGACCGUAAACAGACAGACCCCUGCCUUCAGGGAAAUUACAGUCUGAUGGAGGAGGCCAAAAAUAAACAAGUAAGCAAAGCCAUGAAAUGACAUGUUUAUAUUGUAGUGAGUGCUCAGAAGGAAAUAAACGGGUACUGUGCUAGGAUAUAAGGUAGAAUUCUGCUUCAGAAAAGAUGGUCAGGGACGACCUCUCUGAGCUGAGCCUGGGUGAUAGGAAGCUGUUGACCGGGAACAGCAUUCA
This is a long non-coding RNA of Orcinus orca (killer whale), 5640 nucleotides long. RefSeq lists it as uncharacterized. The transcript is spliced from 7 exons. The record is from RefSeq and is a predicted model, not a curated record. Lineage: Eukaryota; Metazoa; Chordata; Mammalia; Artiodactyla; Delphinidae.